GUGCUCACUUUGGCAGCACAUAUACUAAAAUUAGAAUGAUACAGAGAAGAUUAGCAUGGCCCCUGCACAAGGAUGACACACAAAUUUGUGAAGUGUUCCAAAAGGCU
This 107-nucleotide small nuclear RNA is filed under the name Octodon degus (degu). Lineage: Eukaryota; Metazoa; Chordata; Mammalia; Rodentia; Octodontidae. The record is from RNAcentral.